Schistosoma rodhaini is the source of this 45-nucleotide non-coding RNA. Lineage: Eukaryota; Metazoa; Platyhelminthes; Trematoda; Strigeidida; Schistosomatidae. The record is from Rfam.
UUCCAGCUGACGAGUCCUAAAUAGGAGGAAAAGCGCGUCGUGGAU